This 23-nucleotide unclassified non-coding RNA is filed under the name Mus musculus (house mouse). RNAcentral's name for it is "oocyte_clustered_small_RNA8395". The record is from RNAcentral. Lineage: Eukaryota; Metazoa; Chordata; Mammalia; Rodentia; Muridae.
UGCCCUGCCCUGCUCUGACUGAC